Molecule: small nucleolar RNA, 133 nt
Organism: Otolemur garnettii (small-eared galago)
Lineage: Eukaryota; Metazoa; Chordata; Mammalia; Primates; Galagidae
Source: Ensembl
AAAGCAGGUUGCAAUUACAGUACUUCAUUCUGUGGAAGUAUUGCCAUUAUCCUGCUGAAAGAAAAGCCGUGUUUAAUCAUUUCCGGGUUUGCCUGUAUGGGGGUAAAAUCCUAACAGAUUGACACGGACAAUU